UACGAAGGGUGCAAGCGUUACUCGGAAUUACUGGGCGUAAAGCGUGCGUAGGUCGUUCGUUAAGUCUGAUGUGAAAGCCCUGGGCUCAACCUGGGAAUGGCAUUUGGGACUGCAAGGCUGGAGUGUGGCAGAGGAGACUGGAAUUCCUGGUGUAGCAGUGAAAUGCGUAGAUAUCAGGAGGAAUACCGAUGGCGAAGGCAGGUCUCUGGGCUAACACUGACGCUCAUGCACGAAAGCGUGGGGAGCAAACAGG
Molecule: ribosomal RNA, 253 nt
Filed under: uncultured bacterium
Lineage: Bacteria
Description: partial 16S ribosomal RNA
Rfam family: Bacterial small subunit ribosomal RNA
Source: RNAcentral